GGUGGCUCACUGGUAGAGUGUUUGCUUCGCAUGCAUAAGGCCCUGGGUUCGAUUCCUCAGCACCA
RNAcentral lists this transfer RNA (65 nucleotides) under Dipodomys ordii (Ord's kangaroo rat). It matches the Rfam family "tRNA". Rfam says of the family: Transfer RNA (tRNA) molecules are approximately 80 nucleotides in length. Their secondary structure includes four short double-helical elements and three loops (D, anti-codon, and T loops). The record is from Rfam by way of RNAcentral. Lineage: Eukaryota; Metazoa; Chordata; Mammalia; Rodentia; Heteromyidae.